RNAcentral lists this ribosomal RNA (486 nucleotides) under uncultured bacterium. Its description in RNAcentral is "partial 16S ribosomal RNA". It matches the Rfam family "Bacterial small subunit ribosomal RNA", at positions 30 to 507 of the family's 1533-position model. The record is from RNAcentral.
AUUGAACGCUGGCGGCAUGCCUUACACAUGCAAGUCGAACGGCAGCACGGGUUCUUGCCCCUGGUGGCGAGUGGCGAACGGGUGAGUAAUACAUCGGAACAUGUCCUGUAGUGGGGGAUAGCCCGGCGAAAGCCGGAUUACUACCGCCUACUAUCCACGGAUGAAAGCGGGGGACCUUCGGGCCUCGCGCUAUAGGGUUGGCCGAUGGCUGAUUAGCUAGUUGGUGGGGUAAAGGCCUACCAAGGCGACGAUCAGUAGCUGGUCUGAGAGGACGACCAGCCACACUGGGACUGAGACACGGCCCAGACUCCUACGGGAGGCAGCAGUGGGGAAUUUUGGACAAUGGGCGAAAGCCUGAUCCAGCAAUGCCGCGUGUGUGAAGAAGGCCUUCGGGUUGUAAAGCACUUUUGUCCGGAAAGAAAUCCUUGACUCUAAUACAGUCGGGGGAUGACGGUACCGGAAGAAUAAGCACCGGCUAACUACGUG